AUCCAGCUGAUGAGUCCCAAAUAGGACGAAACAUGAGCUAGCCAUCCUUCAU
This 52-nucleotide non-coding RNA is filed under the name Schistosoma mattheei. The record is from RNAcentral. Lineage: Eukaryota; Metazoa; Platyhelminthes; Trematoda; Strigeidida; Schistosomatidae.